AUGUACCACUCGUACACUGCGGUUCUGAGCGCGACUUCCACGCCACCUGACGACUGCUCGCUACAUUUUGGUAGCC
This 76-nucleotide small RNA is filed under the name Xanthomonas prunicola. RNAcentral describes it as "sX9 sRNA". It matches the Rfam family "Xanthomonas sRNA sX9". The record is from RNAcentral. Lineage: Bacteria; Pseudomonadati; Pseudomonadota; Gammaproteobacteria; Lysobacterales; Lysobacteraceae.